RNAcentral lists this ribosomal RNA (412 nucleotides) under Arsenophonus endosymbiont of Bemisia tabaci. RNAcentral describes it as "bacterial SSU rRNA". It matches the Rfam family "Bacterial small subunit ribosomal RNA", at positions 505 to 916 of the family's 1533-position model. The record is from RNAcentral. Lineage: Bacteria; Pseudomonadati; Pseudomonadota; Gammaproteobacteria; Enterobacterales; Morganellaceae.
GUGCCAGCAGCCGCGGUAAUACGGAGGGUGCGAGCGUUAAUCGGAAUUACUGGGCGUAAAGGGCACGCAGGCGGUUAAUUAAGUUGGAUGUGAAAUCCCCGGGCUUAACCUGGGAAUGGCAUUCAAGACUGGUUAGCUAGAGUCUUGUAGAGGGGGGUAGAAUUCCAUGUGUAGCGGUGAAAUGCGUAGAGAUGUGGAGGAAUACCGGUGGCGAAGGCGGCCCCCUGGACAAAGACUGACGCUCAUGUGCGAAAGCGUGGGGAGCAAACAGGAUUAGAUACCCUGGUAGUCCACGCUGUAAACGAUGUCGAUUUGGAGGUUGUGGUCAAGAACUGUGGCCUCCGGAGCUAACGCGUUAAAUCGACCGCCUGGGGAGUACGGCCGCAAGGUUAAAACUUAAAGGAAUUGACGG